Molecule: ribosomal RNA, 489 nt
Filed under: uncultured bacterium
Lineage: Bacteria
Description: bacterial SSU rRNA
Rfam family: Bacterial small subunit ribosomal RNA
Source: RNAcentral
GGCUCAGGAUGAACGCUAGCGGCAGGCCUAAUACAUGCAAGUCGAACGGGUGAAUUAGCUUCGGUUGGUUCACUAGUGGCGCACGGGUGAGUAACGCGUACGCAAUCUGCCCUAUGCUGGGGAAUAGCCCUGGGAAACUGGGAGUAAUACGCCAUAGUUCUACGGAUCUGCAUGGAUUUGUAGAUAAAGCUGCGGCGGCAUAGGAUGAGCGUGCGUCUGAUUAGGUAGUUGGUGAGGUAACGGCUCACCAAGCCGACGAUCAGUAAGGGGCGUGAGAGCGUGGCCCCUCACACGGGUACUGAGACACGGACCCGACUCCUACGGGAGGCAGCAGUAAGGAAUAUUGGACAAUGGGCGCAAGCCUGAUCCAGCCAUCCCGCGUGCUUGAUGAAGGCCCUCUGGGUUGUAAAGAGCUUUAGUCUGGGAAGAAACCGUUUUCUGCGGAAGACGCUGACGGUACCAGAAGAAUAAGCACCGGCUAACUCCGUG